This 675-nucleotide ribosomal RNA is filed under the name Escherichia coli. RNAcentral describes it as "bacterial LSU rRNA". It matches the Rfam family "Bacterial large subunit ribosomal RNA", at positions 2130 to 2804 of the family's 2925-position model. The record is from RNAcentral. Lineage: Bacteria; Pseudomonadati; Pseudomonadota; Gammaproteobacteria; Enterobacterales; Enterobacteriaceae.
CUUGAUGUGUAGGAUAGGUGGGAGGCUUUGAAGUGUGGACGCCAGUCUGCAUGGAGCCGACCUUGAAAUACCACCCUUUAAUGUUUGAUGUUCUAACGUUGACCCGUAAUCCGGGUUGCGGACAGUGUCUGGUGGGUAGUUUGACUGGGGCGGUCUCCUCCUAAAGAGUAACGGAGGAGCACGAAGGUUGGCUAAUCCUGGUCGGACAUCAGGAGGUUAGUGCAAUGGCAUAAGCCAGCUUGACUGCGAGCGUGACGGCGCGAGCAGGUGCGAAAGCAGGUCAUAGUGAUCCGGUGGUUCUGAAUGGAAGGGCCAUCGCUCAACGGAUAAAAGGUACUCCGGGGAUAACAGGCUGAUACCGCCCAAGAGUUCAUAUCGACGGCGGUGUUUGGCACCUCGAUGUCGGCUCAUCACAUCCUGGGGCUGAAGUAGGUCCCAAGGGUAUGGCUGUUCGCCAUUUAAAGUGGUACGCGAGCUGGGUUUAGAACGUCGUGAGACAGUUCGGUCCCUAUCUGCCGUGGGCGCUGGAGAAUUGAGGGGGGCUGCUCCUAGUACGAGAGGACCGGAGUGGACGCAUCACUGGUGUUCGGGUUGUCAUGCCAAUGGCACUGCCCGGUAGCUAAAUGCGGAAGAGAUAAGUGCUGAAAGCAUCUAAGCACGAAACUUGCCCCGAGA